Molecule: ribosomal RNA, 3091 nt
Filed under: Candidatus Moraniibacteriota bacterium
Lineage: Bacteria; Candidatus Moraniibacteriota
Description: bacterial LSU rRNA
Rfam family: Bacterial large subunit ribosomal RNA
Source: RNAcentral
GAAGGUUACUUAAGGCGUACGGUGGAUGCCUUGACUGAAGCAAACGAUGAAGGACGUAGCCGGCUGCGAUAAGCCUCGGGGAGCUGCCAAGCAAGCUUUGAUCCGUGGAUUUCCGAAUGGGAAAACCCUUCCGACUUUACGUCGGGAAUCAUUAUCUGAAUACAUAGGAUAGUGAGGUAUACCCUGGGAAUUGAAACAUCUUAGUACCAGGAGGAAAAGAAAACAAUUGUGAUUCCGUCAGUAGUGGCGAGCGAAAGCGGAAUAGCCUAAACCUUACACCACUUUAUGGUGUAAGGGGUUGCGAGACAAUGCAACUCGUUUAAUCGGGAUCUAAACAUUUUUCUUAAUAGAACACUUUGGAAAAAGUGGCCAUAGGAGGUAAUAGCCCUGUAUGUGAAAAGAAAAGUGUUGCGAUGGUAUUGUUCUCAAGUAGGGCAGGACUGGUGAAAUCCUGUUUGAAUCUGGGAGCACUAAACUUCCAAGGCUAAAUAUUGCUUCAGAUCGAUAGUGAACUAGUACCGUGAGGGAAAGGUGAAAAGCAUCCCGAUAAGGGAGGUGAAAUAGUACCUGAAACCAUACGCUGACUCAGAGUCGGAGCCCCGCCCUUUUGGCCGGUAAAGAUUUUUUCUUUGCCCAAAAGGGCGGGGUGACGGCGUGCUUUUUGCAGAACGAGCCAACGAGUUAGUUCUAUGCGGCUUGCAUAAACUAUUUUUAUAGGAUAUGCAUAGUGAAGGCGAGCUUUAAAAGGCUACUUGUCGCAUGGACUAGACCCGAAACCAGGCGAGCUACAUAUGAGCAGGGUGAACCUCGAGUAACAUCGAGGGGAGGCCCGAACCCACCAGCCGUUCAACGCUGGGGGAUGACUUGUGUGUAGAGGAGAAAUUCCAAUCGAGCUUGGCAAUAGCUGGUUCUCUCCGAAAUAGCUUGAGGGCUAGCGUCUUGAUUAUCCGCCUUAGGCGGAUAAAUUAGACAUAAGAGGUAGAGCUACUGAAUGAGAAUUCGCGGUUCGCCGUAGAAUUCCCAACCAAACUCCGAAUUCUUAUGUUUUUACCAAGGCAGUCAGAAAUCCGGCUCUAAGGUCGGAUCUCAAAAGGGAAACAGCCCAGAUCAUAAUCUAAGGUCCCUAAAUCCAUGUUAAGUGAUUUAUAAGGAAGUGAAGUUUCUUAUACACCUAGGAGGUUGGCUUAGAAGCAGCCAUCCUUUAAAGAGUGCGUAACAGCUCACUAGUCUAGAAAUUUUGCGCCAAAAAUGUAUCGGGGCUAAACAUGGUACCGAAGAUAUGAUUCCGCUCUUUGUUUACAAAGGGCGGGAGGUAGGAGAGCGUUCUAUGUGCUGUGAAGUUUUGUCGUGAGGCAGGAUGGAGCGCAUAGAAGUGAGAAUGUUGGCAUGAGUAACCACAAUGCGGGUGAAAACCCCGCACACCGAAAGUCCAAGGUUUCCUGGGCGAUGUUGAUCAACCCAGGGUUAGUCGGGCCUAAGGCGAGGCCGAAAGGCGUAGUCGAUGGACAGCCGGUUAAUAUUCCGGCACUACGGCAGUAUUCGAUGGAGUGACGUGUUCUAGUAUAUUUUGCGUCUUAUUGGAUUGACGUAAUUGUUUUAAGGGUGUCUUGCAGGCAAAUCCGCGAGACAUCGCCCAAGAAAUAAUUGGAACCCAGCACUAACUUUUUGAGUGUCGCUUUGCGACAUUUAGUAAAUGACAUUUUUUCUUUCAGAAGAUAAUUAAGUUGUGGAAACUUAUCUUCAAAUGGUAGGAUUAAAUUAUCAAAAAGUUGGUGCUGGGGAACAAGAUAAAGCAGGGCACCAGGAAAAACUUCUAAGGCUAGUACUGUUGUAUCCGUACUGCAAACCGACACAGGUGGACUGGGCGAGUAGCCCAAGGUGAACGAGAGAACCUUCGUUAAGGAAUUCGGCAAAAAAGCUAGAUGUAAGUUUGCGAGAUAUCUUUCCUACACCACUUUAAUUCUUUGAAUAAUGAUGUUUAAGGAGUUAGGGUGGUGUAGGACGCAGCUAAAGUAUCCCAGGCGACUGUUUACCAAAAACACAGGUCUCUGCAAACCCGUAAGGGGAAGUAUAGGGGCUGACGCCUGACCAGUGCUGGAACGUUAACGGGAGCGGUGCAAGCCAAUCCUCGAAGCGCCAGUGAACGUCGGCAAUAACUAUAAUUGUCCUAAGGUUCUGAAAUUUUUUAUAAGAUUUCAGAAGGACUGGGACGAUUGUAGUGAAUGUUAAGUCGAAUUUUAGAGUUAUAAGGAAAAAGUAACUGCUUAUUCUGUUGAGAAACAGAAUGUCUUAAAAAUUCAGCUAUAUGCUGGAAAAUCCGGAGUAUCCGGUGCUACUUCAUUACUUAAUGAGGUAAAAAUGUAUCCGGUGCGGAUAACCAGCAGGAAAGAUUGCUUAAAAUUAUUAAUCUUAAGCAAAAUCCUCAGAGACUAAACGCUGAAUUCGCCACUGAGGCGAAAAAAUAUAGUCCGUGCUAUACAGCGAUGUAUAGAUAACAUUUCAGAGCGAAAUUCCUUGUCGGGUAAAUUCCGACCCGCAUCAAAGGCGUAACGACUUGGGAACUGUCUCAACGAAGGACUCGGUGAAAUCGCAGUGACGGUGAAGAUGCCGUCAACCUACGGCAAGACGAAAAGACCCCGUGGAGCUUUACUAUAACUUGGCAUUGGAUUAGAGUUUUGGUUGCCGAGAAUAGGUGGGAGACUUUGAAGUCUCGUUUCAGGACGAGAUGGAGUCAUCAGUGGAAUACCACCCUGCUAGAGUUUUAAUUCUAACCCUAGACCGUUAAGAGAUAGGAAAUAGGGAAGUAAUGAGUUAAUCAUCGAAAUCAAGAUUGUAAAGCAAAGCAAGGCAAGAUCGAUAUUUUUUAUCGAACUGCCUAUUUUAUGAUUAAUUCGUUCUUCUAAAUUCAUACCAAUUCAUUCUUAUUUCUUACCGGUCUGGGAACAGUGCCUGGUGGGUAGUUUGACUGGGGCGGUCGCCUCCCAAAUGGCAACGGAGGCGUUUACAAAGGUUGGCUAAGUCCGGAUGGAAAUCGGGCUGAUAGUGCAAAAGCAUAAGCCAGCUUUACUGAAAGACCCAUAAGUCAAUCAGU